Wyeomyia smithii (pitcher-plant mosquito) is the source of this 2091-nucleotide long non-coding RNA. RefSeq lists it as uncharacterized. The transcript is spliced from 4 exons. The record is from RefSeq and is a predicted model, not a curated record. Lineage: Eukaryota; Metazoa; Arthropoda; Insecta; Diptera; Culicidae.
UUAACUUAUAGUACUUUUCCAAGCAUUGCAUAAAAAUAAGUAUACCUGGAAAUGUAUACGUACUUAUUCAGCUACCGAAGAGAAACAUAAAGUCCAUAAAGCAACAGUUUGUUUGUUCUUUUACACAUUCAGGUUGAAUGUGUUAGUGAUGGUGUGAUUUUUUUUCGGGAGUAAAUAGGUAGCGUCACUUUCGAACUGUAGCUGUAUUCUGAGGCUUGCAUCACGGAGCUGCAUGUGUAGGCAUGCAGAUGUGGGUACAUGGCGAUUCAUUAGCGCAAGCCGGCAGGGGAGAUUUCACACUGUCGCUCACUCACAGUGCGACUACGAAGGAAAGUGGAUGUCUAGUUUUUGUCGCCCUGUGUGGCUGGUGUUCUAUUGUGAAGAUUUAUUUUAACACAAAGCGAAAGCAAUAAAUUUGUGAUAAAUGUUCUUGAUACAGUGUUGUACAAAGUAAAUACUGUGAUUAUGGUUUAGUCGCUGAGAAUAAGGAUAAAUUUUCAACUGCAUAAAAUGGCUGCCAUAAGUGCAAUCGCUGCUGCAGCUGGGGGUCUUUUUCGGCAGGUCAUCAAGCACUUAAACGCUUGCUCUGCUUUCCAACCAUUCACAAAGAAAGGUUAGUAAUAGAUGAAAAUGACGAAGGUUGUAAGCAAAGAGAAAGGAAAAGAUCUACAGCAUGCAUACUAGGAAUAGGCAAAUUUAAGUUCAACGUUGAUUUUAAACUGCCAGAAUUAAUGGAGGAGUCGUUUGAAUGUUUAACUUAUGUGUGCGGACUCUAAUCGAAACAAGAUGUUGAGACCGGGAUGCGGGGAAGGAUUUGACCUUCCAGUAAGUUGUGCAGCAGUGUCUGAUAAAUCUCAAGCAGGGCACCGUCAUGAUGGAAAAUCGGUAAGCUCCGUUGCCGAGCCUAAGAAAAAGGUCCACAGCAUGCAUGCCAGGAAAAAGUAAAUAUCCUACGGAAAAAGCGUUCCACAGAUGGUUGCCAUAUGCAACGCACAAAUAAACUUGAGGAAGAAUAACUACACUGUCGACAUGCAGACGAGUUUUAUUGCGAUGGCUGAAAAAGCACUUAUCAUAAUGGUUAAAACUAAUGCGGUACCAGGGUGGGACAUAGAACCGGUUUUUGUAGAGUAAGCCGAAAUGAAAUCCUACAAGGAGUGAUUAAAUCGAAUAUCAUGUAACUUUUCAUCUUUACGCUGGAAACCUGUAACCUGUGACGUUUGGUGCGAACCCGUUGGUGGUCUCAACAAACAAGUAACUAGUUUUUAAGAUAGUUCGUAAGAUUCUUAACAGUAAUCACAAGCCGAGUUCAAUGUAAACAUAGUUUAUAAGUGCUCAUCACGUGGAAUAGCGUUUGGUAUUUUUGUUACGAUGCGCCUUAAAAGUGUCAUCCAACAUUAUUGUGGAGCAAACUUUACAGUGUAGAACCCAUCUUUGGAAGUUUUUCUUACGAUUAUUUGGCGUUUUCAAGCGAUUUCAAAUGUGGGCGUAAUCAGUGACAGUAUUUUUUGUCUGAAUGAUAUAUUGAGGAUGUUUUUCCGUUUACAAUAACUAGUUUGCUACAGUUAUUGAAUAAUGCCCCUGGACCUUUAAUCAGUGAAAAUUACUGAAGGUUAUCUGAAUACUUUUGGAUUCAUCAUCUUUUAAAAUAUUUUACUUUCAACGAGUUAUAUUGGAACUUUGUUACCAUGAUAAUGUAGUAUUCAACACUUGACCAUAUCGCACCUUUUUUCGCUGUCUAGUCUUCUGAAUGUUUAUUUAUUCAUCAUUCCUAAACAAAUGAACAAAGAAAAUUGAAUUUGCCCACCCCAAUCUAUUUCAUUUGUAAAUUGUACGGAAAUAUUUCGGCUGUAAAACAAUGCGUUGUAUCGUCGGGUUUGGAUAUUAGGUUUCUCGGUUUUGUUUACCUUAGAUUUGUCCGUUUGAACAUGGUUCAGACUCAAGAUAAACUUUGCAAUUGCAAAAAAGAAAACAGUUCUAGUCCCUACUUCCUUCUUGCCUAAAUCAAUAUUUGAAUGAGUUCGGACUGUUAAGACUACUAAACUAACCGACUGCACCAUUCUUGCCUGCAGUGUGUUCUUGCAGAAUGGUGUA